CCUACGGGAGGCAGCAGUGGGGAAUAUUGCGCAAUGGGCGAAAGCCUGACGCAGCGACGCCGCGUGCGGGAUGAAGGUCUUCGGAUCGUAAACCUCUGUCAGCAGGGAAGAACGGUCACUGUGCUAAUCCGCAGUGAAUUGACGGUACCUACAAAGUAAGCACCGGCAAACUCCGUGCCAGCAGCCGCGGUAAUACGGGGGGUGCGAGCGUUAAUCGGAUUUACUGGGCGUAAGGCGCGCGUAGGCGGUAGGUCAAGUUAAGGGUGAAAUCCCCGCGCUCAACGUGGGAAGUGCCUUUGAAACUGGCAAGCUGGAGUGUGGGAGAGGUUAGAGGAAUGCCAGGUGUAGGAGUGAAAUCCGUAGAUAUCAGAAAGAACACCAGUGGCGAAGGCGACUAAC
Molecule: ribosomal RNA, 399 nt
Filed under: uncultured bacterium
Lineage: Bacteria
Description: partial 16S ribosomal RNA
Rfam family: Bacterial small subunit ribosomal RNA
Source: RNAcentral